This 482-nucleotide ribosomal RNA is filed under the name uncultured bacterium. Its description in RNAcentral is "partial 16S ribosomal RNA". It matches the Rfam family "Bacterial small subunit ribosomal RNA", at positions 29 to 523 of the family's 1533-position model. The record is from RNAcentral.
AACGAACGCUGGCGGCAUGCUUAACACAUGCAAGUCGAACGGAAUAAUUUAGCUUGCUAAAUUAUUUAGUGGCAAACGGGUGAGUAACACGUGGGUGAUCUGCCCUGCACUUCGGGAUAAGCCUGGGAAACUGGGUCUAAUACCGGAUAGGACCCUGGGAUGCAUGUCCUGGGGUGGAAAGCUUUUGCGGUGUGGGAUGGGCCCGCGGCCUAUCAGCUUGUUGGUGGGGUGAUGGCCUACCAAGGCGACGACGGGUAGCCGGCCUGAGAGGGUGACCGGCCACACUGGGACUGAGAUACGGCCCAGACUCCUACGGGAGGCAGCAGUGGGGAAUAUUGCACAAUGGGCGCAAGCCUGAUGCAGCGACGCCGCGUGAGGGAUGACGGCCUUCGGGUUGUAAACCUCUUUCAGCACCGACGAAGCGCAAGUGACGGUAGGUGCAGAAGAAGGACCGGCCAACUACGUGCCAGCCGCCGCCGUAA